AGUGAACGCUGGCGGUAGGCCUAACACAUGCAAGUCGAACGGCAGCACAGUAAGAGCUUGCUCUUACGGGUGGCGAGUGGCGGACGGGUGAGGAAUACAUCGGAAUCUACUUUUUCGUGGGGGUUAACGUAGGGAAACUUACGCUAAUACCGCAUACGACCUACGGGUGAAAGCAGGGGAUCUUCGGACCUUGCGCGAUUGAAUGCGCCGAUGUCGGAUUAGCUAGUUGGCGGGGUAAAGGCCCACCAAGGCGACGAUCCGUAGCUGGUCUGAGAGGAUGAUCGGCCACAUUGGAAGGGGGACAGGGUCAAGAGGACUAAGGGAGGCAGCAGUGGGGAACAUGGGACAACGGGCGGAAGCCUGAUCCAGUGAGACCGCGUGGGUGAAGAAGGCGUUCGGGUUGUAAAGACCUUUUGUUGGGAAAGAAAAGCAGCAGGUUGAUACCCCGCUGUUCUGACGGUAACGAAAGAAUAAGCACCGGCUAACUUCGUG
Molecule: ribosomal RNA, 492 nt
Filed under: uncultured bacterium
Lineage: Bacteria
Description: partial 16S ribosomal RNA
Rfam family: Bacterial small subunit ribosomal RNA
Source: RNAcentral